GAUCCUGGCUCAGGACGAACGCUGGCGGCGUGCUUAACACAUGCAAGUCGAACGAAAAGAGGGAAAGAGCUUGCUCUUUCCGGAAUUGAGUGGCAAACGGGUGAGUAACGCGUAAACAACCUGCCUUCAGGAUGGGGACAACAGACGGAAACGACUGCUAAUACCGAAUAAGUUCCAAGAGCCGCAUGGCUCAUGGAAGAAAAGGUGGCCUCUACCUGUAAGCUAUCGCCUGAAGAGGGGUUUGCGU
RNAcentral lists this ribosomal RNA (247 nucleotides) under uncultured bacterium. Its description in RNAcentral is "partial 16S ribosomal RNA". It matches the Rfam family "Bacterial small subunit ribosomal RNA", at positions 15 to 236 of the family's 1533-position model. The record is from RNAcentral.